GUCCGGGCAGCCGAAGAGUGUGGUAGGUAACGGUCGUCAGCGCAAGGGUCAUUUCGUCGCUGGGAAGGGACGGCCCUCGCCCGCGGUGAUGGUGGUGAGCUAUGCCCGUGGUCCUCAGGGCCGGGACCCGGGCCCAGCCCAGGCUCCUUUCGAUGUACUGUCUUUCGUUAGCGUCCCCGACCCGCGCUCGCGGGCCUGUAGGGCUCUCCGACAGGGCGUGCUACCGGAGUUGGCCUGAAGCCAGUCCUCGCUUUGUUUUCUGGCUCCUCCUCUCCCGCCUCUCCCGCUGUCUCCGCCCUGUUCUAUUUUCCCUAAGAAUGUCUGAACUGGGAGGGAUACCCUAGCGCCCUUGUUUUACCAGUGAGAAAACUGAGGCCUUUAAGAAUUAAGUGACUUGUCCAAGGUCACUAUCCGUAUUUUAGGAGCCAAGACGAGAUCAAGUUCAAUAUUCCAGGAGUGGUACUGACUAGACCUUGUAGUUAUUUUAAAAAUGUUAGCCUCCAAUUACAAAAGCAAGCAUUUCCUAGUUCUCACUCAACUUCUCCUUUUCCCUGUUCCUCUCAAAAAAGAAAAAAAAAAAAUCAACUCUGGUAACUCAUUGCCAGUCUGAAUUUUCAAUAGGCCAGAUGGAAGACAACAAAAGUAAUCUCAAGUUAGUGACAGAUUAGGUGGGAAAACGUUAGUUUACGCCAAGUUUUAUUUAAUUUAAACUUUUAAGUGGCUUGAACGCUUUCAAAACCUAACUUUCCUCUUCUUUCAACAUCAUUUUGGUUUGGGUUGUCUGUUUUUACUGAAUAUUGAGGACUUUGUAAGUUAGGAAUUAGUUUGAGAUUUGUUUUCUCCUUAUCCCACCAGCAGUGUGUGUGUAAACACACAGAUCCACACACUUAGGUUUAGCAGUUGUAAUUGUGGGUUCAUCCUAGUGAAGAGUAAAGCAAAACACUUAGAGCCUUAUCUAGUAAUUUUAUUUUUUUGAUUAAUUAAUUAUUAUUAUUUUUUUUUUGAGACAGAGUCUUGCCCUAUCACCCAGGCUGGAGUGCAGCAGCGCAAUGUCGGCUCACUGCAACCUCUGUCUCCUGGGUUCAAGCGAUUCUCCUGCCUCAGCCUCCUGAGUAGCUGGGAUUACAGACACCUGCCACCAAGCCCAGCUUAUUUUUCUAUUUUUAGUAGAGACGGGGUUUCACCAUCUUGGUCAGGCUGGUCUUGAACUCCUCACCUCGUGAUCCACCCGCCUGGGCCUCCCAAAGUGCUGGGAUUACAGGUGUGACCCACUGUGCCCGGCCUGGUAAUUUUAUUUUUUUACUAAUAGUGUUUAAUCUUUUUUUGAUGUUUAGUAUGUAUGACUUCUCCCAAUUUUUGGAUGCAGUCUGUGCAGAAGUGAUCGGCAGUUAUGUUCAGUUUUGGAACUCCUAGGGUCAAAGUACUUGAGUUCAAAUUUUGCCUUUCCACUUUCUAUCUCUGUGCCUCAGUUUCCUCAUCAGUAAAAUACAGAUUAUUUUAUUAAUAUAAAUAUGUAACAAUACGUUCUGGGAAUUAAAUGUGAUGUUUAAAAAAAAAGCAAACCCACACUGCAUUAGCCCAGUGCCAAGCACAUAAGUGUUUAAUAAAGAGUAAUGAUAUUAUUAACACACUUGAAAUGUAUCACCCCUUCAGUUAAUAGAAUGGUAAACAUGUUAGGAUGCCUGCCUAGAGGAUUUAGAAGAAAAUGCUUUGUAAAUGUUCUAUAUCUGAAAGUACAUGUUGAUGUCCAGGUUAGCAAGAUGAACAAAGAUGCGCAGAUGAGAGCAGCGAUUAACCAAAAGUUGAUAGAAACUGGAGAAAGAGAACGCCUCAAAGAGUUGCUGAGAGCUAAAUUAAUUGAAUGUGGCUGGAAGGAUCAGUUGAAGGCACACUGUAAAGAGGUAAUUAAAGAAAAAGGACUAGAACACGUUACUGUUGAUGACUUGGUGGCUGAAAUCACUCCAAAAGGCAGAGCCCUGGUACCUGACAGUGUAAAGAAGGAGCUCCUACAAAGAAUAAGAACAUUCCUUGCUCAGCAUGCCAGCCUUUAAGAUUGAAUUAGAUUGUGUUGUUGUGGUUUUAUUUCUGAAAGUAAAACUUGCCAUAAAUUAGAAAACAAUUUCCCAAAAUAAAAUCCUUUUUUGUAUGAUGGUA
This 2154-nucleotide small RNA is filed under the name Pan troglodytes (chimpanzee). Its description in RNAcentral is "retained intron". Lineage: Eukaryota; Metazoa; Chordata; Mammalia; Primates; Hominidae. The record is from RNAcentral.